CGUACACUCCUACGGGAGGCAGCAGUGGGGAAUAUUAGACAAUGGGCGCAAGCCUGAUCCAGCCAUGCCGCGUGAGUGAUGAAGGCCCUAGGGUUGUAAAGCUCUUUCACCGGUGAAGAUAAUGACGGUAACCGGAGAAGAAGCCCCGGCUAACUUCGUGCCAGCAGCCGCGGUAAUACGAAGGGGGCUAGCGUUGUUCGGAUUUACUGGGCGUAAAGCGCACGUAGGCGGACUAUUAAGUCAGGGGUGAAAUCCCGGGGCUCGACCCCGGAACUGCCUUUGAUACUGGUAGUCUUGAGUUCGAGAGAGGUGAGUGGAAUUCCGAGUGUAGAGGUGAAAUUCGUAGAUAUUCGGAGGAACACCAGUGGCGAAGGCGGCUCACUGGCUCGAUACUGACGCUGAGGUGCGAAAGCGUGGGGAGCAAACAGGAUUAGAAACCCCAGUAGUCCCAUGAU
RNAcentral lists this ribosomal RNA (455 nucleotides) under uncultured organism. Its description in RNAcentral is "partial 16S ribosomal RNA". It matches the Rfam family "Bacterial small subunit ribosomal RNA", at positions 330 to 801 of the family's 1533-position model. The record is from RNAcentral.